CCUACGGGUGGCAGCAGUGAGGAAUAUUGGUCAAUGGCCGGAAGACUGAACCAGCCAAGCCGCGUGAGGGAGGAAGGUGCCAAGUAUCGUAAACUUCUUUUGUCAGGGAACAAAAUCUGGGACGCGAGCCCGAAUGAGGGUACCUGAAGAAAAAGCAUCGGCUAACUCCGUGCCAGCAGCCGCGGUAAUACGGAGGAUGCGAGCGUUAUCCGGAUUUAUUGGGUUUAAGGGGUGCGUAGGCGGACUGUUAAGUCAGCGGGAAAAGCCCGGGGCUCAACCCCGGCGAGCCGUUGAAACUGGCAGUCGUGAGUUGGAGAGAGGUAUGCGGAAUGCGCAGUGUAGCGGUGAAAUGCAUAGAUAUUGCGCAGAACUCCGGUUGCGAAGGCAGCAUGCCGGCGGCAAACUGACGCUGAGGCACGAAAGCGUGGGUAUCGAACAGGAUUAGAUACCCUAGUAGUC
This 459-nucleotide ribosomal RNA is filed under the name uncultured bacterium. RNAcentral's name for it is "partial 16S ribosomal RNA". It matches the Rfam family "Bacterial small subunit ribosomal RNA", at positions 338 to 795 of the family's 1533-position model. The record is from RNAcentral.